CACGGGGGGAGCAAGCGUUGUUCGGAAUCACUGGGCGUAAAGGGAGUCUAGGCGGUCAGGUAAGUGGGAUGUGAAAUGCCCCGGCUCACCCGGGGACCGGCAUCCCAAACUGCCUGGCUUGAGUAUGGGAGAGGGUGUGGGAAUUCCUGGUGUAGCGGUGAAAUGCGUAGAUAUCAGGAGGAACACCGGUGGCGAAGGCGCACACCUGGCCCAAUACUGACGCUGAAGCUCGAAAGCUAGGGGAG
This 245-nucleotide ribosomal RNA is filed under the name uncultured bacterium. RNAcentral describes it as "partial 16S ribosomal RNA". It matches the Rfam family "Bacterial small subunit ribosomal RNA", at positions 524 to 768 of the family's 1533-position model. The record is from RNAcentral.